GAUGAACGCUGGCGGCGUGCCUAAUACAUGCAAGUCGAACGAGAUCUUCGGAUCUAGUGGCGAACGGGUGAGUAACGCGUUGGUACCUACCCUGAAGUGGGGAAUAACUGGCCGAAAGGUCGGCUAAUACCGCAUAAUACCGCAAGGUUAAAGUCGUAAGACGCUUCGGGAGGGGCCUGCGUCCCAUUAGCUAGUUGGUGAGGUAACUGCUCACCAAGGCGACGAUGGGUAGCUGGAUCGAGAGGUUGACCAGCCUCACUGGGACUGAGAUACGGCCCAGACUCCUACGGGAGGCAGCAGUAAGGAAUCUUCCACAAUGGGCGAAAGCCUGAUGGAGCAACGCCGCGUGCAGGAUGACGGUCUUCGGAUUGUAAACUGCUUUUAUAUGGGAAGAUUAUGACGGUACCAUAUGAAUAAGCACCGGCUAACUACGUGCCAGCAGCCGCAGUAA
This 451-nucleotide ribosomal RNA is filed under the name uncultured bacterium. RNAcentral describes it as "partial 16S ribosomal RNA". It matches the Rfam family "Bacterial small subunit ribosomal RNA", at positions 28 to 523 of the family's 1533-position model. The record is from RNAcentral.